AAUUGGCAGGCCCCUCGGCCAAUGGCACUAGGAGUUCACUCCGUUCGUCCCGCCCACAGGUGCUGGCUGCCACCGCAACCGAACUGGCGGUCCAAGUAGCUGCGGGUCCCGCAAUUCUCCACUGGAGCCUCGGGUGCUUCGGCUGCGGUGAAGCUGGUGGAGUCCGCACGGAACGCUCAGUCCCAUGGGCCUUUCGAGGGGGAUGGCCGCGUUCUCAAUCUCGCAGGCCGGGUUCCCAAGGUUGCUCCGGAGUCCUGAUGAGUGGCAACGCCACACAGCCUGCGAGCGCUGAGGAGUUUGAAGAAGAUCUAUGCUGAAGCUCCUGGGGUCCUGGAGACUAAAGACUGGAGAAGAGGCCGUGCCAAGGAUUCCCGCCUAUCUGUGAUGGCUAAUAUUGGUUAUCAACUUGACACACCUGAAGAAGAGGGAACCUUACAUGAAGAAUUGCCUCUGUUCCAUCAGACUGGCCUGUGGGCAUGAAUGUAUGUAUAGAUGUAUAUUUUAAAUUGCUAACUGAUGUUGGCACUUGUGGGUGGUGCUACCCCAGGCAAGUGGUCCUGACCGGUACAAGCAAGCUGUCUGAAUAAAAUAUCAUUUGUACCCAAGUAGGAGGAAGCAAGCCAGUACUGCAGCAUUCCUCAGAGGGCUCUGCUUCAGUUCCUGCCUCCAGGUUCUGACUUGAAUUCCUUAGGUGGCUUCUCUCAGUGACCGACUGUGACCUGAAAGCCAAAUAAACUCCGUCUUCUCUUUGUUAUGGUUUCUAUUGCUGUGAUCAUCAUGACCCAGAGCAACUUGGGGAGGAGAGGAUUUAUGUCCCUUGUACUUCCAAAAUCAUAGUCUACCAUCAAAGGAAGUCACACCAGGAACUCAUGGCAGGAACCUGGUAGGCAGGAACUGGGCCAGAGACCAGGAGUGCUUGCUUCUCACUGGUUUGCUCAGCCUGUUUUCAUACAUCACUCAGGACCAUCAGCCCAGGGUAAAUCCUACCCACAGUGAGUUCGGGUCCUCCCACAUCAA
Molecule: long non-coding RNA, 1017 nt
Organism: Mus caroli (Ryukyu mouse)
Lineage: Eukaryota; Metazoa; Chordata; Mammalia; Rodentia; Muridae
Source: RefSeq, a predicted model, not a curated record